RNAcentral lists this ribosomal RNA (328 nucleotides) under uncultured eukaryote. RNAcentral describes it as "partial 18S ribosomal RNA". It matches the Rfam family "Eukaryotic small subunit ribosomal RNA", at positions 1470 to 1796 of the family's 1831-position model. The record is from RNAcentral.
CCCUUAGAUGUCCUGGGCCGCACGCGCGCUACACUGAUGCAUGCAACGAGUAUAUAACCUUGGCCGAGAGGCCUGGGCAAUCUUGUUAACGUGCAUCGUGAUAGGGAUAGAUUAUUGAAAUUAUUAAUCUUGAACGAGGAAUUCCUAGUAAACGCAGAUCAUCAAUCUGCAUUGAUUACGUCCCUGCCCUUUGUACACACCGCCCGUCGCACCUACCGAUUGGAUGGUCCGGUGAAGCCUCGGGAUUGUGGUUCUUGCCGCUUUAUUGUGGCGUGACCGCGAGAACUUGUCUAAACCUUAUCAUCUAGAGGAAGGUGAAGUCGUAACA